GGUUAAGCGACUAAGCGUACACGGUGGAUGCCCUGGCAGUCAGAGGCGAUGAAGGACGUGCUAAUCUGCGAUAAGCGUCGGUGAGGUGAUAUGAACCGUUAUAACCGGCGAUUUCCGAAUGGGGAAACCCAGUGUGUUUCGACACACUAUCAUUAACUGAAUCCAUAGGUUAAUGAGGCGAACCGGGGGAACUGAAACAUCUAAGUACCCCGAGGAAAAGAAAUCAACCGAGAUUCCCCCAGUAGCGGCGAGCGAACGGGGAGGAGCCCAGAGCCUGAAUCAGUGUGUGUGUUAGUGGAAGCGUCUGGAAAGGCACGCGAUACAGGGUGACAGCCCCGUACACAAAAAUGCACAUAUUGUGAGCUCGAUGAGUAGGGCGGGACACGUGGUAUCCUGUCUGAAUAUGGGGGGACCAUCCUCCAAGGCUAAAUACUCCUGACUGACCGAUAGUGAACCAGUACCGUGAGGGAAAGGCGAAAAGAACCCCGGCGAGGGGAGUGAAAAAGAACCUGAAACCGUGUACGUACAAGCAGUGGGAGCCUCUUUUAUGGGGUGACUGCGUACCUUUUGUAUAAUGGGUCAGCGACUUAUAUUCUGUAGCAAGGUUAACCGAAUAGGGGAGCCGAAGGGAAACCGAGUCUUAACUGGGCGUUAAGUUGCAGGGUAUAGACCCGAAACCCGGUGAUCUAGCCAUGGGCAGGUUGAAGGUUGGGUAACACUAACUGGAGGACCGAACCGACUAAUGUUGAAAAAUUAGCGGAUGACUUGUGGCUGGGGGUGAAAGGCCAAUCAAACCGGGAGAUAGCUGGUUCUCCCCGAAAGCUAUUUAGGUAGCGCCUCGUGAAUUCAUCUCCGGGGGUAGAGCACUGUUUCGGCAAGGGGGUCAUCCCGACUUACCAACCCGAUGCAAACUGCGAAUACCGGAGAAUGUUAUCACGGGAGACACACGGCGGGUGCUAACGUCCGUCGUGAAGAGGGAAACAACCCAGACCGCCAGCUAAGGUCCCAAAGUCAUGGUUAAGUGGGAAACGAUGUGGGAAGGCCCAGACAGCCAGGAUGUUGGCUUAGAAGCAGCCAUCAUUUAAAGAAAGCGUAAUAGCUCACUGGUCGAGUCGGCCUGCGCGGAAGAUGUAACGGGGCUAAACCAUGCACCGAAGCUGCGGCAGCGACACUAUGUGUUGUUGGGUAGGGGAGCGUUCUGUAAGCCUGUGAAGGUGGCCUGUGAGGGUUGCUGGAGGUAUCAGAAGUGCGAAUGCUGACAUAAGUAACGAUAAAGCGGGUGAAAAGCCCGCUCGCCGGAAGACCAAGGGUUCCUGUCCAACGUUAAUCGGGGCAGGGUGAGUCGACCCCUAAGGCGAGGCCGAAAGGCGUAGUCGAUGGGAAACAGGUUAAUAUUCCUGUACUUGGUGUUACUGCGAAGGGGGGACGGAGAAGGCUAUGUUGGCCGGGCGACGGUUGUCCCGGUUUAAGCGUGUAGGCUGGUUUUCCAGGCAAAUCCGGAAAACCAAGGCUGAGGCGUGAUGACGAGGCACUACGGUGCUGAAGUGACAAAUGCCCUGCUUCCAGGAAAAGCCUCUAAGCAUCAGGUAACAUCAAAUCGUACCCCAAACCGACACAGGUGGUCAGGUAGAGAAUACCAAGGCGCUUGAGAGAACUCGGGUGAAGGAACUAGGCAAAAUGGUGCCGUAACUUCGGGAGAAGGCACGCUGAUAUGUAGGUGAAGCGACUUGCUCGUGGAGCUGAAAUCAGUCGAAGAUACCAGCUGGCUGCAACUGUUUAUUAAAAACACAGCACUGUGCAAACACGAAAGUGGACGUAUACGGUGUGACGCCUGCCCGGUGCCGGAAGGUUAAUUGAUGGGGUUAGCGGUAACGCGAAGCUCUUGAUCGAAGCCCCGGUAAACGGCGGCCGUAACUAUAACGGUCCUAAGGUAGCGAAAUUCCUUGUCGGGUAAGUUCCGACCUGCACGAAUGGCGUAAUGAUGGCCAGGCUGUCUCCACCCGAGACUCAGUGAAAUUGAACUCGCUGUGAAGAUGCAGUGUACCCGCGGCAAGACGGAAAGACCCCGUGAACCUUUACUAUAGCUUGACACUGAACAUUGAGCCUUGAUGUGUAGGAUAGGUGGGAGGCUUUGAAGUGUGGACGCCAGUCUGCAUGGAGCCGACCUUGAAAUACCACCCUUUAAUGUUUGAUGUUCUAACGUUGGCCCGUAAUCCGGGUUGCGGACAGUGUCUGGUGGGUAGUUUGACUGGGGCGGUCUCCUCCUAAAGAGUAACGGAGGAGCACGAAGGUUGGCUAAUCCUGGUCGGACAUCAGGAGGUUAGUGCAAUGGCAUAAGCCAGCUUGACUGCGAGCGUGACGGCGCGAGCAGGUGCGAAAGCAGGUCAUAGUGAUCCGGUGGUUCUGAAUGGAAGGGCCAUCGCUCAACGGAUAAAAGGUACUCCGGGGAUAACAGGCUGAUACCGCCCAAGAGUUCAUAUCGACGGCGGUGUUUGGCACCUCGAUGUCGGCUCAUCACAUCCUGGGGCUGAAGUAGGUCCCAAGGGUAUGGCUGUUCGCCAUUUAAAGUGGUACGCGAGCUGGGUUUAGAACGUCGUGAGACAGUUCGGUCCCUAUCUGCCGUGGGCGCUGGAGAACUGAGGGGGGCUGCUCCUAGUACGAGAGGACCGGAGUGGACGCAUCACUGGUGUUCGGGUUGUCAUGCCAAUGGCACUGCCCGGUAGCUAAAUGCGGAAGAGAUAAGUGCUGAAAGCAUCUAAGCACGAAACUUGCCCCGAGAUGAGUUCUCCCUGACUCCUUGAGAGUCCUGAAGGAACGUUGAAGACGACGACGUUGAUAGGCCGGGUGUGUAAGCGCAGCGAUGCGUUGAGCUAACCGGUACUAAUGAACCGUGAGGCUUAACCUU
This 2905-nucleotide ribosomal RNA is filed under the name Escherichia coli. Its description in RNAcentral is "23S ribosomal RNA". It matches the Rfam family "Bacterial large subunit ribosomal RNA". The record is from RNAcentral. Lineage: Bacteria; Pseudomonadati; Pseudomonadota; Gammaproteobacteria; Enterobacterales; Enterobacteriaceae.